Long non-coding RNA from Gopherus evgoodei (Goodes thornscrub tortoise), 116 nucleotides. RefSeq lists it as uncharacterized. Lineage: Eukaryota; Metazoa; Chordata; Testudines; Testudinidae. The record is from RefSeq and is a predicted model, not a curated record. The transcript has 2 exons.
GUUUGGGAACAUUUUAAUGAAGUUCCUCUACCUUUGAAGAAUAUGUAUUACGGUUAUAACAACCAACAAGAAUGCACUUUUAUGUAGAAAUCCAUGAUUAAAUCAAGUCUUCCUGA